CCUACGGGUGGCAGCAGUGAGGAAUAUUGGUCAAUGGACGAGAGUCUGAACCAGCCAAGUAGCGUGAAGGAUGACUGCCCUAUGGGUUGUAAACUUCUUUUAUAUGGGAAUAAAACGUUCCACGUGUGGGAUUUUGUAUGUACCCUAUGAAUAAGGAUCGGCUAACUCCGUGCCAGCAGCCGCGGUAAUACGGAGGAUCCGAGCGUUAUCCGGAUUUAUUGGGUUUAAAGGGAGCGUAGGUGGAUUGUUAAGUCAGUUGUGAAAGUUUGGGGCUCAACCGUAAAAUUGCAGUUGAAACUGGCAGUCUUGAGUACAGUAGAGGUGGGCGGAAUUCGUGGUGUAGCGGUGAAAUGCUUAGAUAUCACGAAGAACUCCGAUUGCGAAGGCAGUUCACUGGACUGCAACUGACACUGAGGCUCGAAAGUGUGGGUAUCAAACAGGAUUAGAUACCCCGGUAGUC
This 460-nucleotide ribosomal RNA is filed under the name uncultured bacterium. Its description in RNAcentral is "partial 16S ribosomal RNA". It matches the Rfam family "Bacterial small subunit ribosomal RNA", at positions 338 to 795 of the family's 1533-position model. The record is from RNAcentral.